This 72-nucleotide transfer RNA is filed under the name Camelus bactrianus (Bactrian camel). It matches the Rfam family "tRNA". From Rfam's summary of the family: Transfer RNA (tRNA) molecules are approximately 80 nucleotides in length. Lineage: Eukaryota; Metazoa; Chordata; Mammalia; Artiodactyla; Camelidae. The record is from Rfam by way of RNAcentral. RNAcentral also lists the same sequence under 2 other names.
GUGGGUAGAGCUCAGUGGCAGAGCGCAUGCCUAGCUUUCAUGAGGUCUUGGGUUCAAUCCCCAGUACCUCUA